Molecule: long non-coding RNA, 513 nt
Organism: Ochotona curzoniae (black-lipped pika)
Lineage: Eukaryota; Metazoa; Chordata; Mammalia; Lagomorpha; Ochotonidae
Exons: 3
Source: RefSeq, a predicted model, not a curated record
UUGGGGUUCACUUUGGAGCUCCUCCUUGGCAACGACUGGCAGGUGCUUUCCGAACUGCCUGAUUUGCCUAUCCUGUCCUUGGGUCAGACCAGACAUCCAAAAGACCAAUCUUUCUUUUCCCCAGUGGCCUGGUUGCCCCCAUCUGGAGGUGUAAUUUGGUAGGUAAAUUCCCAGAUAAUAUUGCCAAGAAACCAGGAAGCCUCUUCCUCCUAUCCAGCCUCACUGUAUGACUUGAAAACCCCAAGGCCGAAGAGCCUCAGUGUUUGUUUGCAUAAAAGGAAGAUAGAGAUACAACUGUGGGAAAAUGACAUUGGACAAUCUCUCCCAUGAAGUCUACAGUGGACACUCCGAGAAACCCAGAAAUCACAAAGCUUACCUCAGCCUCAAAUUUGACUGAAGACUUCUGUUCCUUGGUUUGGCUAAUGGCUCUUGAUGACUUUUGAUCCUUGGCACUGGCAACUGCUUCUGGGAGCUCCUUAAGAAGUUAAACAUAGAGUUAUAAUUUGAGCAUUU